Molecule: ribosomal RNA, 725 nt
Filed under: uncultured bacterium
Lineage: Bacteria
Description: bacterial SSU rRNA
Rfam family: Bacterial small subunit ribosomal RNA
Source: RNAcentral
AGAGUUUGAUCCUGGCUCAGAGCGAACGCUGGCGGCAGGCCUAACACAUGCAAGUCGAGCGGUCGUAGCAAUACGGCAGCGGCAGACGGGAGAGUAACACGUGGGAACGCGCCCUUCGGUUCGGAAUAACUCAGGGAAACUUGGGCUAAUACCGGAUACGCCCUUACGGGGAAAGAUUUAUUGCCGAAGGAACGGCCCGCGUCCGAUUAGCUUGUUGGUGAGGUAAUGGCUCACCAAGGCGACGAUCGGUAGCUGGUCUGAGAGGAUGACCAGCCUCACUGGGACUGAGACACGGCCCAGACUCCUACGGGAGGCAGCAGUGGGGAAUAUUGGACAAUGGGCGCAAGCCUGAUCCAGCCAUGCCGCGUGGGUGAUGAAGGCCCUAGGGUUGUAAAGCCCUUUCGGCGGGGAAGAUAAUGACGGUACCCGCAGAAGAAGCCCCGGCUAACUUCGUGCCAGCAGCCGCGGUAAUACGAAGGGGGCUAGCGUUGCUCGGAAUUACUGGGCGUAAAGCGCACGUAGGCGGCUUUCUAAGUCGGGGGUGAAAUCCUGGAGCUCAACUCCAGAACUGCCUUCGAUACUGGAGAGCUUGAGUCCGGGAGAGGUGAGUGGAACUGCGAGUGUAGAGGUGAAAUUCGUAGAUAUUCGCAAGAACACCAGUGGCGAAGGCGGCUCACUGGCCCGGUUACUGACGCUGAGGUGCGAAAGCGUNGGGGAGCAAACAG